UACGGGGGGGGCAAGCGUUGUUCGGAAUUACUGGGCGUAAAGGGCUCGUAGGUGGCCAACUAAGUCAGACGUGAAAUCCCUCGGCUUAACCGGGGAACUGCGUCUGAUACUGGAUGGCUUGAGUUUGGGAGAGGGAUGCGGAAUUCCAGGUGUAGCGGUGAAAUGCGUAGAUAUCGAGAGGAACACCAGAGGCGAAGGCGGCGACCUGGACAAGUACUGACACUCAACUACGAAAGCGUGGGGAGCAAACAGG
RNAcentral lists this ribosomal RNA (253 nucleotides) under uncultured bacterium. Its description in RNAcentral is "partial 16S ribosomal RNA". It matches the Rfam family "Bacterial small subunit ribosomal RNA", at positions 524 to 776 of the family's 1533-position model. The record is from RNAcentral.